GACGAACGCUGGCGGCGUGCCUAAUACAUGCAAGUCGAACGCUUCUUUCCUCCCGAGUGCUUGCACUCAAUUGGAAAGAGGAGUGGCGGACGGGUGAGUAACACGUGGGUAACCUACCCAUCAGAGGGGGAUAACACUUGGAAACAGGUGCUAAUACCGCAUAACAGUUUAUGCCGCAUGGCAUAAGAGUGAAAGGCGCUUUCGGGUGUCGCUGAUGGAUGGACCCGCGGUGCAUUAGCUAGUUGGUGAGGUAACGGCUCACCAAGGCCACGAUGCAUAGCCGACCUGAGAGGGUGAUCGGCCACACUGGGACUGAGACACGGCCCAGACUCCUACGGGAGGCAGCAGUAGGGAAUCUUCGGCAAUGGACGAAAGUCUGACCGAGCAACGCCGCGUGAGUGAAGAAGGUUUUCGGAUCGUAAAACUCUGUUGUUAGAGAAGAACAAGGACGUUAGUAACUGAACGUCCCCUGUCGGUAGCUAACCAGAAAGACACGGCUAACUACGUG
RNAcentral lists this ribosomal RNA (508 nucleotides) under uncultured bacterium. RNAcentral's name for it is "partial 16S ribosomal RNA". It matches the Rfam family "Bacterial small subunit ribosomal RNA", at positions 28 to 507 of the family's 1533-position model. The record is from RNAcentral.